CCAGACCACCAGGCACAGGAAAGGGGACAAGGGAGACUUGAAAUCAGAAUGGGAAGAGACAUGCAUUACCUACUGUCCGUUAAAAUGUGUUCCUUCAAAAAAAAAAAAAAAUGUGUUCCUUCUACAAAUGUCCCAAACAAUGUUAUACCAUGAGCCUUGCCGGGGGCCUGGGAAGGGAGGAGCCUGUGCAAGUGGCCAGCAUGAAGUCCUAUGGACAUCGCUGUGGCCGUGGGGGUCGGGAGGGGUCCCUUGGCUCUGAGGCCCUGUUACCCCACCCCUUCCAGUCCCCAUACCCAGAUCUUAGUACAGAGACACUUCGUGGACAAACACACCUCCUGGUGUCAUCACAAUCAGUUUAUAUUUUCUAGUUUUUCGACAAUAGCAGAUAUUUACAUUUUUUUCCAAAUAAGAAUCCUUACCCCCAGAGGAAAAAUUGUUUGGCGGUCACCGAAGCCCAUGGCAAUCAGUACCACACGAAGGAUGGAACCGAGGAGGAAAAGACUGGAAGGAAAUACACUGAAACUCUACAGGGAGCUUUGUUUGGAUGGUGGCGCCCACGUUGGAGGAGACUGGCAGAGACAAAGCAGAGUCUUCACUGGCCCCUGAAGCCAUGAGGCCUCCAUGGGUCCAUCCUAAGAAGACAUCCUUCCUGAAGGAGCCCUGAAGGAGGCUGGGGUCCCUCACGAGCACACCAGUUAUCAAGUUCCCGUUUUACCUGCAACCAUCUUCCUAUCACAAUUCCACACACUUGGCCAGUUACCUAUUUUCUUGCAGGGCCAUGACAGGUGAGAAGGGAAGUCCAGUUGCUUUGGUGCUUUGCAAGUGACGGAGCACCGUGGUGUGUCUUCUGCAGUUACACAUGCGAUCAAUCUCUGAGAAGGAAGCAAAACCCUUGUGGUUGAAAGACGGCUCCCUCCUCGGUAGUCAAGGCAAAAGCAGCACAGAGAACAGCUGCUGUGGAACGUCACUUCCUUUCCCACAUGCUGGAAACUCGGCCUUUCAGUUCUCACCCUGCUGUGUGUUUGAGGCAUGUGAACUGCAACCAUGACAAGCUAAAUCAUGCAAAUAAUUUCACAAAUAAACAUGACUUCUCUUUCUAGUAAAAUAGAAGU
Molecule: long non-coding RNA, 1112 nt
Filed under: Bos indicus x Bos taurus (hybrid cattle)
Lineage: Eukaryota; Metazoa; Chordata; Mammalia; Artiodactyla; Bovidae
Description: lncRNA (ENSBIXG00005003811.1)
Source: RNAcentral